CCUACGGGGUGCUGCAGUGGGGAAUAUUGGACAAUGGGCGAAAGCCUGAUCCAGCCAUGCCGCGUGUGUGAAGAAGGCCUUCGGGUUGUAAAGCACUUUCAGUGGGGAAGAAAGCCUUGGGGCUAAUACCCUCGAGGAAGGACAUCACCCACAGAAGAAGCACCGGCUAACUCCGUGCCAGCAGCCGCGGUAAUACGGAGGGUGCGAGCGUUAAUCGGAAUUACUGGGCGUAAAGCGCGCGUAGGUGGUCUGAUAAGCCGGUUGUGAAAGCCCCGGGCUCAACCUGGGAACGGCAUCCGGAACUGUCAGGCUAGAGUGCAGGAGAGGAAGGUAGAAUUCCCGGUGUAGCGGUGAAAUGCGUAGAGAUCGGGAGGAAUACCAGUGGCGAAGGCGGCCUUCUGGACUGACACUGACGCUGAGGUGCGAAAGCGUGGGUAGCAAACAGGAUUAGAUACCCCUGUAGUC
Molecule: ribosomal RNA, 465 nt
Filed under: Vreelandella stevensii
Lineage: Bacteria; Pseudomonadati; Pseudomonadota; Gammaproteobacteria; Oceanospirillales; Halomonadaceae
Description: partial 16S ribosomal RNA
Rfam family: Bacterial small subunit ribosomal RNA
Source: RNAcentral